RNAcentral lists this ribosomal RNA (253 nucleotides) under uncultured bacterium. RNAcentral describes it as "partial 16S ribosomal RNA". It matches the Rfam family "Bacterial small subunit ribosomal RNA", at positions 524 to 776 of the family's 1533-position model. The record is from RNAcentral.
UACGGAGGGGGCUAGCGUUGUUCGGAAUUACUGGGCGUAAAGCGCACGUAGGCGGACCAGAAAGUUGGGGGUGAAAUCCCGGGGCUCAACCUCGGAACUGCCUUCAAAACUAUUGGUCUUGAGUUCGAGAGAGGUGAGUGGAAUUCCGAGUGUAGAGGUGAAAUUCGUAGAUAUCCGGAGGAACACCAGUGGCGAAGGCGGCUUCCUGGACCGACACUGACGCUGAGGCGCGAAAGCUAGGGGAGCAAACGGG